RNAcentral lists this ribosomal RNA (500 nucleotides) under uncultured bacterium. RNAcentral's name for it is "partial 16S ribosomal RNA". It matches the Rfam family "Bacterial small subunit ribosomal RNA", at positions 30 to 523 of the family's 1533-position model. The record is from RNAcentral.
AUUGAACGCUGGCGGCAUGCCUUACACAUGCAAGUCGAACGGCAGCACGGGAGCAAUCCUGGUGGCGAGUGGCGAACGGGUGAGUAAAGUAUCGGAACGUGCCCAGUCGUGGGGGAUAACGUAGCGAAAGUUACGCUAAUACCGCAUACGACCUAUGGAUGAAAGCGGGGGAUCGCAAGACCUCGCGCGAUUGGAGCGGCCGAUAUCAGAUUAGGUAGUUGGUGGGGUAAAGGCUCACCAAGCCGACGAUCUGUAGCUGGUCUGAGAGGACGACCAGCCACACUGGGACUGAGACACGGCCCAGACUCCGACGGGAGGCAGCAGUGGGGAAUUUUGGACAAUGGGCGAAAGCCUGAUCCAGCCAUGCCGCGUGCAGGAUGAAGGCCUUCGGGUUGUAAACUGCUUUUGUACGGAACGAAAAGGUUUGGCCUAAUAAGCUGAGCUCAUGACGGUACCGUAGGAAUAAGCACCGGCUAACUACGUGCCAGCAGCCGCCGUAA